RNAcentral lists this transfer RNA (77 nucleotides) under Pseudomonadota bacterium. RNAcentral describes it as "tRNA-Pro". It matches the Rfam family "tRNA". From Rfam's summary of the family: Transfer RNA (tRNA) molecules are approximately 80 nucleotides in length. Their secondary structure includes four short double-helical elements and three loops (D, anti-codon, and T loops). The record is from RNAcentral. Lineage: Bacteria; Pseudomonadati; Pseudomonadota. RNAcentral also lists the same sequence under 4 other names.
CGGGACGUAGCUCAGCCUGGUAGAGCACCUGGUUUGGGACCAGGACGUCGCAGGUUCAAAUCCUGUCGUCCCGACCA